UACAAAUGUACAAUAUCAACACUUGUUAAGUACUUGGGAAUAGUUUUCUACAUGAAGGGAAAAAUUAUGGCGGUUGCUAAGUUGGCUUCCUUCCAAUAGUUUUAGACGCUUCUAGUCUCUUAUUUCAUGCGGUGAACGGAAACCCUAAAUCUGUCUACCCACACAUAUAUAUAAGAGGAUAAGGGAAGAUGUUGUGAAGGUUGCACUUGUUUUACCUGUGGGCGGCGAUUGGCGAGAGCAGGAGAGGGAGUUUGCAGUCACAAUGAGAGCCAAGUGGAAGAAGAAGCGUAUGAGGAGACUCAAAAGAAAGCGUCGAAAGAUGAGACAGAGAUCUAAAUAGGCUUUACUAUUAUUGUUAUAGACCAGGAACACUAGACACUUCUUUUUGACUCAUUUUUUUGAAGUGCUGAUAGCUGGGCCCUUGCCAUGAGCAUUCUACAUUAACAUAAAUAUUCAAUCUAGUUAUGUUUGCUUUCCUUGAUACAUGAAAGUUCAAUAAUUGCACCUUUAGGAAUGGUUGUUAA
Long non-coding RNA from Cryptomeria japonica (Japanese cedar), 524 nucleotides. RefSeq lists it as uncharacterized. The transcript is spliced from 2 exons. The record is from RefSeq and is a predicted model, not a curated record. Lineage: Eukaryota; Viridiplantae; Streptophyta; Pinopsida; Cupressales; Cupressaceae.